RNAcentral lists this long non-coding RNA (1928 nucleotides) under Strongylocentrotus purpuratus (purple sea urchin). Its description in RNAcentral is "uncharacterized LOC105441593, transcript variant X3". Lineage: Eukaryota; Metazoa; Echinodermata; Echinoidea; Camarodonta; Strongylocentrotidae. The record is from RNAcentral.
GUUACUGUACGCUCGCGUAAUGUGCGCGUCCAUUGCGUCUUAUGACGUCAUCCCCAAAGUAGGUCAAAUCAGCGCGAACCGAGGAAAAAUGUAAACAAAAGUUGUCACAUGUUUGUCAACAUACCCAAUCAAAAAUGACUAAACCAGACGUUAACCAAAAACAUAAUCCUGAAAUGCAUAUUCAUGUUUCCAUUUAUAUAGUAACAAUCAUUACCAAUCGCACCUAUUUUUUUAAUAGUACCUCUUUGAUUAGAUACCUUAUUUUGCAUAAAAAUUGUUGAAUAAUAUUUAAAUUUUUGAACCUUCCAAAAAUAUGUGUUUUAAAAAAAAAACAUAAUUUUUACCACUUUGAGCUUUUGCAUAGUGGGGAACGAGGACCUAAACUUGUCGUCGAUUUCAAUUUUUAUCAUCCUACCUUUUUUUGAACAACUGGACUUCUCCUUGAUUUGGUGCUACUUUUAGAUACUGAGUAGAGGUCCAAGUGCCAAGACAUCUGCUACAGUAAAGCCUUGACGGGAUUAGAGCUACAGGACUUGAGCAAGGAUCUCCAAUGGAAAUGCAUGUACGGUACAGAUCUCUUGAAAUGUUGUUGAGCUGGCAGUGAACCGAUUCACCUCCUUGCUCACCCAUCAUCCCAAGGCUUGCUCCCCAGUCUCUGAACCAGGGGAUGACAUGAAACUGCAACAGAUGCUGUUUGGGGGUCACACUCUCUGUGGGGAAGUUCUGACGGUAGAACGACAUGUACUCUUUGAUGUCUCUGUCUGUUGCUGACCUAUAUGAUCAUGAUUUCUUGGACUCUUACCCAGCUUGUCGAUGACUGAGUCGUCCAGGAAUGUACCGGUGUUGAUACCUCGGUGGCAUGCCCCAAACAGCUUCAGCAACGUGUUGUAUUUGGUGGCUAUCUGUUCUGCCUCCUGGAUGAGGUCCUGGUCGUUGGGGCAGAGUGACUGUACCGUCUUUGCUAUUGUAGCAGUGAUAACAUCAGUGUUCUCGGGCUGUUGGAGCAAGCCAUUUCCAGGAUGAGGGUGGGUGGUUCAGCUUCCGGGUAAAGUAGUGCAACCAUCAUGUGCUGUUCCAUGAGGUCGUGAACUUCUUCCUCAGCUAGCUUCACUCUGGUCUGGAGAUUCAGCUUCUUCAGCUGCUGUUUGAAGGCCUCCUUUGCUUCUAGUUGGUCUGUAGGAGUUCUUGCCAAGGAGUGGCCAAUCUUUAGGUCCAGGGUGUGACAUGCUUGGCAGAGUGAAUUGAAGUGCUUCAGGAAGACCCCUAGGGAGAUGUGGAGCCCAGGAGGACAGACCUGAUAAAUAGGAGAAAAGGGCUUAUAAUAUCAGAGAAUUAGAAAUCACACCUCCAUGACAUGGACUCCAAGUCAGCAAUCUGACAUCUGAUAGUCUCCAGAGAGACAUCGAGGUUGAAGGUAGAGUCGGAGCCAGGGAACAACAUGAUGACUCGGGUGUUGUGGAGGCUAUUGGGUCUGUUAACGUUGGCCACCUGUAUCAUCAUUUUGAAUGUUCCUCCCCCUUUGUCUCCUCCCACUUUCAGCCAGAUUUCGCCUUCAGGGAUGUGGUCCUCAUGCCAGGUAGAGACAUGAACUCACUGAUCAUACUCCUCUAGCAAGUCUUGGACAAGGGCACUGAGGCUGUUAACUGCGACUACUGGGGUCUCCUUGAUUUCUAUUGCGGUGUCGCUUGAACCCUGUUGAAGAGGCAACCACUCCCCGGUGAUGUUAUCCUUGAUGGCAUGGUCUUGCAGUUUCCUCACCUCCUUCUCAUUACCUGUUGAGAUUCUACGAUCCUUUAGCCAGCUGUUAAGAAAUAUAUUAGGUAUUGUAAUGUAUUUUUAUUGUAUCUAAUUACUUGAGCUAGAAAUGAGGUGUAAUUCCUGGGGUUGGGGUACUCAUCUUAUGAGGUGUAACUCUAAAGGGUCACUUU